This 400-nucleotide ribosomal RNA is filed under the name phytoplankton environmental sample. Its description in RNAcentral is "partial small subunit ribosomal RNA". It matches the Rfam family "Eukaryotic small subunit ribosomal RNA", at positions 587 to 974 of the family's 1831-position model. The record is from RNAcentral.
AGCUCCAAUAGCGUAUAUUAAAGUUGCUGCAGUUAAAAAGCUCGUAGUUGGAUUUGUGGCGCGGCCGUCCGGCGGGGGUCCUUCUAUGGUCUCGUUUGUCCUGGUUUUCGGCCGCUCCUUUCUCGGGUAGAGCGUAAUGGCUGGCAUUAGGUUGUCGGCCGCUUCGCGCCCGUCGUUUACUGUGAAAAAAUUAGAGUGUUCCAAGCAGGCGCGUUCCGCCCGAAUAAUGGUGCAUGGAAUAAUAGAAUAGGACCUCGGUUCUAUUUUGUUGGUUUUCGGAACUAGAGGUAAUGAUUAAGAGGGACAGACGGGGGCAUUCGUAUUGCGGUGUUAGAGGUGAAAUUCUUGGAUCGCCGCAAGACGAACUACUGCGAAAGCAUUUGCCAAGAAUGUUUUCAUU